RNAcentral lists this ribosomal RNA (406 nucleotides) under uncultured prokaryote. Its description in RNAcentral is "bacterial SSU rRNA". It matches the Rfam family "Bacterial small subunit ribosomal RNA", at positions 355 to 776 of the family's 1533-position model. RNAcentral also lists the same sequence under 1 other name. The record is from RNAcentral.
UGGGGAAUAUUGGGCAAUGGGGGAAACCCUGACCCAGCAACGCCGCGUGAGGGAAGAAGGUUUUCGGAUCGUAAACCUCUGUCCUUGGUGAAGAGAAGAAGACGGUAGCCAAGGAGGAAGCCCCGGCUAACUACGUGCCAGCAGCCGCGGUAAUACGUAGGGGGCAAGCGUUGUCCGGAAUGAUUGGGCGUAAAGGGCGCGUAGGCGGCCAUUUAAGAGUGGAGUGAAAGUCCUGCUUUCAAGGUGGGAAUUGCUUUGCUAACUGGAUGGCUUGAGUGCAGGAGAGGUUAGUGGAAUUCCCGGUGUAGCGGUGAAAUGCGUAGAGAUCGGGAGGAACACCAGUGGCGAAGGCGACUAACUGGACUGUAACUGACGCUGAGGCGCGAAAGUGUGGGGAGCGAACAGG